RNAcentral lists this ribosomal RNA (405 nucleotides) under uncultured bacterium. RNAcentral describes it as "partial 16S ribosomal RNA". It matches the Rfam family "Bacterial small subunit ribosomal RNA", at positions 30 to 526 of the family's 1533-position model. The record is from RNAcentral.
AUUGAACGCUAGCGGGAUGCUUAACACAUGCAAGUCGAACGAGUGGCGGACGGGUGAGUAAUAUAUCGGAACGUGCCCAGUAGCGGGGGAUAACUACUGGAAAGGGUGGCUAAUACCGCAUACCAUCGGAUGGGCCGAUAUCGGAUUAGCUAGUUGGUGGGGUAAAGGCUCACCUAGGCGACGAUCCGUAGCUGGUUUGAGAGGAUGACCAGCCACACUGGGACUGAGACACGGCCCAGACUCCUACGGGAGGCAGCAGUGGGGAAUUUUGGACAAUGGGCGAAACCCUGAUCCAGCCAUCCCGCGUGUAUGAGAAGGCCUUCGGGUUGUAAAGUACUUUUAGCAGGGAAGCGUUAUCUGCAGAAUAAGCACCGGCUAACUACGUGCCAGCAGCCGCGGUAAUUC